Molecule: transfer RNA, 71 nt
Organism: Clonorchis sinensis
Lineage: Eukaryota; Metazoa; Platyhelminthes; Trematoda; Opisthorchiida; Opisthorchiidae
Rfam family: tRNA
About the family: Transfer RNA (tRNA) molecules are approximately 80 nucleotides in length. Their secondary structure includes four short double-helical elements and three loops (D, anti-codon, and T loops).
Source: Rfam
GCAUCGGUGGUUCAGUGGUAGAAUACUAGCCUGGCACGCGGGCGACCCGAGCUCGAUUCCCGGCCGAUACA